Molecule: ribosomal RNA, 321 nt
Filed under: uncultured eukaryote
Lineage: Eukaryota
Description: partial 18S ribosomal RNA
Rfam family: Eukaryotic small subunit ribosomal RNA
Source: RNAcentral
CCCUUAGAUGUUCUGGGCCGCACGCGUGCUACACUGAGUGGAUCAGCGGGUCAGGUUGCGCGAAAGUGUUUCCUAAUCUUUAAAUCCGCUCGUGAUGGGGAUUGACGGUUGCAAUUUUCCGUCAUGAACGAGGAAUACCUUGUAAGCGCGGGUCAUCAUCCCGCGCUGAAUACGUCCCUGCCCUUUGUACACACCGCCCGUCGCUACUACCGAUUGAAUGGUUUAGCAAGGUCUUCGGAUUGGCGCCUGACAGUUUCGACUGUCUUCGUGUCCGAGAAGAUGAUCAAACUUGAUCAUUUAGAGGAAGUAAAAGUCGUAACA